CCAUCAACAUGGCGGUAUUGAAAGAAAUAGUUAUCUUGACCUUUUGAUGUACUUAAGUAAAAGAGAGAUUUGAUUAUGAAAAUGAUGGAGUUACUAAUGACAGAAAAAUGGCAGACAAGAGACUCAAAGUAUUUUGAGGUAUGUUAUUCCGUUCAUCUUCAACCCCCUUCCCCACCUCCUCUGGUCUCUCGUACAGCUGUAUGAUUGAUACCAAUACAACAAUACUAAUUUACUGUUUUUUGUUGAGAAGCAUAACAAAUUCUGCUCGUUUAUGUCCAUCAGUUACAUGAAGAGAAUAUUUCAUUUAUUACAUACAUGCACAUGUAUUGUACACUAUCAGUGAAACAAUUACCAGGUGAGACCACACUCACUAUCCAUGCCCAUUUAUGUUCACCCUCUCUUUUAUAGUGCUAGAAGAUGUUGUCUGAUAUUUGUCCAUCAGUGGAAUUACCUUUUGAUAUGUGUAUCAGGUACAUGUACUUAGUCUGUUUGUCAUUCCUGAAAAUAUUCAAAAUUUCUAUGACUGAAAAUCAAUUUACUUUAUGCUAUGACUGAAAGUUUAUUACCUUUUUCAGUGUUGAUAGAAAAUAUGUGUUUCAUUUACCCGACACAUUCCCAGAGACUCAAAGUAUCUUGAGGUAUGUUAUUCCACUCGUCAUCCUGCCCCUCCCCCACCUCCUCUGGUCUCUCGUACAGUUGUGUGUUUGGUACCAAUACAACAAGGCUUGGACACACAGUCAGUGCUGUAACAGUUUGAAUUUAAUGCUUUGCUGAUGGUCUGUUGUCAGUGGAUAUGGCAUCUGAACAAGCCCUUCCCUUCCAUUGAGUCAUUGACCGUGUAUAAAGACUUUGAUUAAGACUAAUUUGUUGAGAAGCUCAUUAGUGUAUAAUAAGUUCUAUUCAUCCAUGUUUAUCAGUUAUGAAGAGAAUAUUUCAUUUAUUACAUACAUUAUUGGUCAAAAAUUUACCAGUGCUGGAAGAUGUCAUCUGAUGCACUGUAUUUUUCCAUCAAUGGAUUAUCUUUUGAUACAUGUAUCAGUAUUCUCAAUGAUGAUUGAUCCUCAAGUAGUCCCAGUUACAGAAUCCUUUCUGGACAUUUUGAGCAGCAUGGUCUCAUUGUUAUUAGUAAGAGAAUGGAAUUAGCCAGUAAAUUGAAGGGACACAAAAGCUUGAACUUGUACAUGUAUAUAACAUGUGCAUCAUUCCUAUUUAUACAUUCAGUGACAUAUUAUUGAAAUGACAUUUAAUUGCAAUUUUUUGUGGUCAGGACUCAGGACUGGCAGGAACCACAUGCUGAUUGAAACAUGUAUGUACAUGUACUUAUUCCUUAAUUUGUAAUCAACAUGUUUGUUAUGUACAUUA
Amphimedon queenslandica is the source of this 1362-nucleotide long non-coding RNA. RefSeq lists it as uncharacterized. The transcript is spliced from 9 exons. The record is from RefSeq and is a predicted model, not a curated record. Lineage: Eukaryota; Metazoa; Porifera; Demospongiae; Haplosclerida; Niphatidae.